Long non-coding RNA from Sander lucioperca (pikeperch), 295 nucleotides. RefSeq lists it as uncharacterized. The transcript is spliced from 3 exons. NCBI's taxonomy places the organism in Eukaryota, Metazoa, Chordata, Actinopteri, Perciformes, Percidae. The record is from RefSeq and is a predicted model, not a curated record.
UGGACUCGCCAGAUCCUCCUCCGCAGCGCAGUGGAGGAAGAUCUGGCAAUGCGAGACUAGUUCAUGUGUAAUUAUGAUGUUUCAUGGGUGCCACAUCAUGUACUGAAGAGCAGUAGUGCUCCUGGUGAAUAGAAGCUACACCAGGCAGUGAGCAGUACAAAAAAUAACAGGAAGGAUAAGAUGAUUCGCCAGCUGAUGUGUGGUGAGCGUCUGGCGUCAUAAGGCUGCCGUGCAUCACCCAGGUGGGUGCUACACAUAGGUGGUGGUAGAGAGUAGUACCCCAAAAAUCAUUUUU